This 430-nucleotide ribosomal RNA is filed under the name Pseudomonadota bacterium. RNAcentral's name for it is "Proteobacteria bacterium partial 16S ribosomal RNA". It matches the Rfam family "Bacterial small subunit ribosomal RNA", at positions 355 to 776 of the family's 1533-position model. The record is from RNAcentral. Lineage: Bacteria; Pseudomonadati; Pseudomonadota.
UGGGGAAUAUUGGACAAUGGGGGGAACCCUGAUCCAGCCAUGCCGCGUGUGUGAAGAAGGCCUUAUGGUUGUAAAGCACUUUAAGCGAGGAGGAGGGUACUGGUAUUAAUACUACCAGGUACUGGACGUUACUCGCAGAAUAAGCACCGGCUAACUCUGUGCCAGCAGCCGCGGUAAUACAGAGGGUGCGAGCGUUAAUCGGAUUUACUGGGCGUAAAGCGUGCGUAGGCGGCUAAUUGAGUCGGAUGUGAAAUCCCCGAGCUUAACUUGGGAAUUGCAUUCGAUACUGGUUAGCUAGAGUGUGGGAGAGGAUGGUAGAAUUCCAGGUGUAGCGGUGAAAUGUGUAGAGAUCUGGAGGAAUACCGAUGGCGAAGGCAGCCAUCUGGCCUAACACUGACGCUGAGGUACGAAAGCAUGGGGAGCAAACAGG